UUACCAAAAAUUAGGGUUUCCAUGUUCAUUAACAUUUACAAACAAUUCAUGGGUGCAAACAGUGAUUCUGGCCCAUUUUUAGCGAAAUCGAGUUAUUGGGCGAAAAACCCCUAAUGGCCCUACUUAGCCGAUUUUGUCAUCUAGGCCUAUUCAGCCUAUAUUCCAUAACGAUUUUAUCAGUCUCUAUGUGCAAUUUAACAAGUUUCCAUAUUCUACCAAUUUUACUCAAAUGGGCCCGAAUGCCCAUUGGGCCCUAUUUCAGCCCCUCGAGGCCCAACUUACCGUGAAAGCCAAAAAUCACGC
Molecule: long non-coding RNA, 303 nt
Filed under: Gossypium barbadense (sea-island cotton)
Lineage: Eukaryota; Viridiplantae; Streptophyta; Magnoliopsida; Malvales; Malvaceae
Description: long non-coding RNA (GBAR_LNC010030)
Source: RNAcentral